RNAcentral lists this ribosomal RNA (1523 nucleotides) under Bacteroides fragilis. RNAcentral's name for it is "16S ribosomal RNA". It matches the Rfam family "Bacterial small subunit ribosomal RNA". Lineage: Bacteria; Pseudomonadati; Bacteroidota; Bacteroidia; Bacteroidales; Bacteroidaceae. The record is from RNAcentral.
GUUUGAUCCUGGCUCAGGAUGAACGCUAGCUACAGGCUUAACACAUGCAAGUCGAGGGGCAUCAGGAAGAAAGCUUGCUUUCUUUGCUGGCGACCGGCGCACGGGUGAGUAACACGUAUCCAACCUGCCCUUUACUCGGGGAUAGCCUUUCGAAAGAAAGAUUAAUACCCGAUAGCAUAAUGAUUCCGCAUGGUUUCAUUAUUAAGGGAUUCCGGUAAAGGAUGGGGAUGCGUUCCAUUAGGUUGUUGGUGAGGUAACGGCUCACCAAGCCUUCGAUGGAUAGGGGUUCUGAGAGGAAGGUCCCCCACAUUGGAACUGAGACACGGUCCAAACUCCUACGGGAGGCAGCAGUGAGGAAUAUUGGUCAAUGGGCGCUAGCCUGAACCUAGCCUAAGUAGCGUGAAGGAUGAAGGCUCUAUGGGUCGUAAACUUCUUUUAUAUAAGAAUAAAGUGCAGUAUGUAUACUGUUUUGUAUGUAUUAUAUGAAUAAGGAUCGGCUAACUCCGUGCCAGCAGCCGCGGUAAUACGGAGGAUCCGAGCGUUAUCCGGAUUUAUUGGGUUUAAAGGGAGCGUAGGUGGACUGGUAAGUCAGUUGUGAAAGUUUGCGGCUCAACCGUAAAAUUGCAGUUGAUACUGUCAGUCUUGAGUACAGUAGAGGUGGGCGGAAUUCGUGGUGUAGCGGUGAAAUGCUUAGAUAUCACGAAGAACUCCGAUUGCGAAGGCAGCUCACUGGACUGCAACUGACACUGAUGCUCGAAAGUGUGGGUAUCAAACAGGAUUAGAUACCCUGGUAGUCCACACAGUAAACGAUGAAUACUCGCUGUUUGCGAUAUACAGUAAGCGGCCAAGCGAAAGCAUUAAGUAUUCCACCUGGGGAGUACGCCGGCAACGGUGAAACUCAAAGGAAUUGACGGGGGCCCGCACAAGCGGAGGAACAUGUGGUUUAAUUCGAUGAUACGCGAGGAACCUUACCCGGGCUUAAAUUGCAGUGGAAUGAUGUGGAAACAUGUCAGUGAGCAAUCACCGCUGUGAAGGUGCUGCAUGGUUGUCGUCAGCUCGUGCCGUGAGGUGUCGGCUUAAGUGCCAUAACGAGCGCAACCCUUAUCUUCAGUUACUAACAGGUCAUGCUGAGGACUCUGGAGAGACUGCCGUCGUAAGAUGUGAGGAAGGUGGGGAUGACGUCAAAUCAGCACGGCCCUUACGUCCGGGGCUACACACGUGUUACAAUGGGGGGUACAGAAGGCAGCUAGCGGGUGACCGUAUGCUAAUCCCAAAAUCCUCUCUCAGUUCGGAUCGAAGUCUGCAACCCGACUUCGUGAAGCUGGAUUCGCUAGUAAUCGCGCAUCAGCCACGGCGCGGUGAAUACGUUCCCGGGCCUUGUACACACCGCCCGUCAAGCCAUGGGAGCCGGGGGUACCUGAAGUACGUAACCGCAAGGAUCGUCCUAGGGUAAAACUGGUGACUGGGGCUAAGUCGUAACAAGGUAGCCGUACCGGAAGGUGCGGCUGGAACACCUCCUUUCU